Molecule: unclassified non-coding RNA, 89 nt
Filed under: Pseudomonas libanensis
Lineage: Bacteria; Pseudomonadati; Pseudomonadota; Gammaproteobacteria; Pseudomonadales; Pseudomonadaceae
Source: RNAcentral
UGUGGGAGGGGGCUUGCCCCCGAUAACGGUGUGUCAGCUAUAAAUUGGCUGACUGAUCCACCUAUAUCGGGGGCAAGCCCCCUCCCACA